GACGAACGCUGGCGGCGUGCUUAACACAUGCAAGUCGAACGGGUCUGCCCUGUUUUUUGCGGGGUGGGUCAGUGGCGAACGGGUGAGUAACACGUGAGUAACCUGCCCCUCACUUCUGGAUAACCGCUUGAAAGGGUGGCUAAUACGGGGUGUUCUGGCUGUGCCGCAUGGUGUGGCUGGGAAAGAUUCACUUUUGUGGUGUUUUGGUGGGGGAUGGGCUCGCGGCCUAUCAGCUUGUUGGUGGGGUGAUGGCCUGCCAAGGCUUUGACGGGUAGCCGGCCUGAGAGGGUGGGCGGUCACACUGGGACUGAGAUACGGCCCAGACUCCUGCGGGAGGCAGCAGUGGGGGGUAUUGCACAAUGGGCGGAAGCCUGAUGCAGCGACGUCGCGUGAGGGAUGGAGGCCUUCGGGUUGUGAACCUCUUUCGCCGGUGAAGAAGGUCCUGCUCUUUGUGGUGGGGUUGACGGUAGCCGGGCUAUGAAGCGCCGGCUAACUACGUG
This 500-nucleotide ribosomal RNA is filed under the name uncultured bacterium. Its description in RNAcentral is "partial 16S ribosomal RNA". It matches the Rfam family "Bacterial small subunit ribosomal RNA", at positions 28 to 507 of the family's 1533-position model. The record is from RNAcentral.